RNAcentral lists this long non-coding RNA (1976 nucleotides) under Marmota monax (woodchuck). Lineage: Eukaryota; Metazoa; Chordata; Mammalia; Rodentia; Sciuridae. The record is from RNAcentral.
UAAUAUGAACCCUUGUAAAAUCAAAACUUAGACUUCUGUGGUGGUAAAAUUUGGGAUCUCAACAAUGGUAAUGAAUAAUUUUGUUGAUUUUGGCUUAUCAGUUGUAAAUUUUAGCAUUUUUCCCAUGUAGCCCCAUGCAUGAAAAAGGUGAUGGGUGAUAGAAACUAACUGAAAAUGCCAUAUUACAUUCCAUGGAUUUUUCAACAUGGUGUACAUUCGAAGAUUGCCCCUUGAGUUCGAGAUGCAAAUACUAAUUCUAUAGGUUUUGCUGUUUGUAGCAUUCCCUCUCAUACAUAUCGGUUGAAGACCUUGGCUCAAAAAGAACCUCCUGACUUUCAAAUUGUUCUUAAAUCCUUUAACAUUCCCCAGCCCAGCUUGGUUGUUUGAAGUACAAAGACCCAAUCCCUUCCAAGACCUUAAUAUUAUUGACCAUUCUUUACCACUGAUUAUCCCAAAGUUACUCUUGAGCCAGCUGUUCUAGUAGUUGCCUUGAUAAGUUUUCAGUAAUCUGCAGUCAAUGGUUUUCCAACAUGGACAAGCAGUAAAUGAGAUGCUCUGCUUAAUCAGCUGGUUUGACUACCAAAUAGGAAUGUUAACCAAAUGUGGUUUUACCAGUUAAUAAAUAUAUCUUGAUUCCAAUGUUAUGUAGGAACAAAAUCCUAAUGUUCCACAGCUAUGUGGAAGAGUUGGUCUGUGGAAACCUCUACUCCUGGUAUAUACUUCUUAUUUGGAAGAUAACUCCUGGUAACACCAUUUCCACUGGAGGAAUUGUAUAUGUAAUUCCUUUUACUUUGAUACAUUUCCUUUUUCUUUUAUAGCAUGUUGGCUUGAUCUGCAAGCUAAUGCCAUGUUGGUAUUGUACUCACUUCCAAAGGAGGUUCUAUGGUGGUUCUGUUGGACACUUUGUAAUUUUAUAGAGUUUUUUCCCAUCCAAUGGAAUUUGAAAACCCCUUUCUAGUUCUUAUGGUGCCUAGGAGGUUCUUUGCCUCAAUUAGCAUCAUUAAUUGAAAACUCACUGGUUAUGCCAAGCCAUCAAAAGUUUAUUCAGAAGUUAACACAAGAGGGCACUAUUGCCUAUAAAAAUAAAUGAGCAUUUAUAAUGAUUCCUUGAGUUCAUUGUUGAUGGUGGAGGUGGGUUUUAUCUAAAGCCUUACCUCCAGAGUCCUUGUUUUAAGUUUCAUGAAUUCUUUCAACUUCAUAAAACUCAAUGGCAAAUAUUCUAAAAGAUGACCCAGAUUCCCCAUUUCUGUAUCCAAAACUAAGGGGCAGUUUAGCUCUCAAAGAUUCUCCUCCUAAAAGCCUAAUUAGGCCUUUUCUUUCUUUCUUUUCUUUUUUUUUGGUGGUGUUGGGGAUUGAACUCAGUGCCUUGUAUAUGUGAGACAACACCCUACCGACUGAGCUAUAUUCCCAGCCCUAAGAGGCUAUGGCUAGGAAUUGGCUCUGGUAGCACUUCCAGGCCUUUCAAUACAAAAGCAAAGAGAAAUCGCUUUUGUUUGGCCAAUACUUCAAUUGGCUUCUUUGGAAGAGAAGCUCUUUCCUCAGGCUGGGCUAUGCAAACAUCUUCAUCCCUAGGCAGCUCCAAAAUAAACUGAAUAAUAUUUGUAAGUCAUAUGUCAUUCCCAUCUUAAGAGCAGUGGGGUUUUUUUAGUUGUGUUUUUAAAAAAAUGUAUUCAGUGUGCUUUGAAGGUUUGUAUGGUGGAAAUAGUCACAAACUGAGACUUUGAAGGAAUCAAAUCCAGAUAAGCCUGUCUCCCAAGUUCUACAUUUACAAACAUUUAUUGAAUGCUUAUUAGCUGUAAGGUACCAUGGUGGAUAGCAGUCCAAAGUCAAUUAGAAUGAUAUAGUCACCUUAGUAUAUACUCUGGAGAAGAAAUAUACUACUCUGCCUUUAACCCAGAUGUCAUAUCUGUGUAUCUUUCUCUGACAAUAAUUUGACCCUUACUUGGGCUUUAAAGAAGACUACCUUGAAUGCCUCA